ACUACGGGAGGCAGCAGUGGGGAAUAUUGCGCAAUGGGCGAAAGCCUGACGCAGCGACGCCGCGUGAGGGAUGAAGGUCUUCGGAUCGUAAAGCUCUGUCAGCGGGGAAGAAGGGUCACAGGGCUAAGCAGCAGUGAAUUGACGGUACCGGCAGAAGAAGCACCGGCUAACUCCGUGCCAGCAGCCGCGGUAAUACGGAGGGUGCGAGCGUUAAUCGGAAUUACUGGGCGGAAAGCGCUCGUAGGCGGUCUGUCAAGUCAAGGGUGAAAUCCCCGCGCUCAACCUGGUAACUGCCUUAGAAACUGGCAAACUGGAGUGUGUUAGAGGCUAGUGGCAUUCCAGGUGUAGCGGUGAAAUCCGUAGAUAUCUGGAGGAACAUCAGUGGCGAAGGCGACUCUCUGGACCAUAACUGACGCUGAGGUGCGAAAGCGUGGGUAGCAAACAGGAUUAGAUACCCGUGUAGUC
Molecule: ribosomal RNA, 465 nt
Filed under: uncultured bacterium
Lineage: Bacteria
Description: partial 16S ribosomal RNA
Rfam family: Bacterial small subunit ribosomal RNA
Source: RNAcentral